UACAGAGGGUGCAAGCGUUGUUCGGAAUUAUUGGGCGUAAAGGGCGCGUAGGCGGUGCGGUAAGUCUGUAGUGAAAUCUCUGGGCUCAACUCAGAGUCUGCUGCAGAAACUGCCGUGCUUGAGUGUGGGAGAGGUGAGUGGAAUUCCCGGUGUAGCGGUGAAAUGCGUAGAGAUCCGGAAGAACACCGGUGGCGAAGGCGGUCUGCUGGGGUAAUGCUGACACUGAGGCGCGACAGCGUGGGGAGCAAACAGG
This 253-nucleotide ribosomal RNA is filed under the name uncultured bacterium. RNAcentral's name for it is "partial 16S ribosomal RNA". It matches the Rfam family "Bacterial small subunit ribosomal RNA", at positions 524 to 776 of the family's 1533-position model. The record is from RNAcentral.